This 301-nucleotide small nuclear RNA is filed under the name Peromyscus maniculatus bairdii (prairie deer mouse). Its description in RNAcentral is "7SK RNA (ENSPEMG00000002403.2)". It matches the Rfam family "7SK RNA". From Rfam's summary of the family: 7SK was discovered as an abundant small nuclear RNA in the mid-70s but a possible function has only recently been suggested. Two independent studies have found that 7SK RNA binds the CDK9/cyclin T complex (known as elongation factor P-TEFb). The record is from RNAcentral. Lineage: Eukaryota; Metazoa; Chordata; Mammalia; Rodentia; Cricetidae.
GGAUGUGAGGGCGAUCUGGCUACGACAUCUGUCACCCCAUUGAUCGUCAGGGUUGAUUCGGCUGAUCUGGCUGGCUAGGCAGGUGUCACCUUCCUCCCUCACCGCUCCAUGUGCGUCCCUCACGAAGCUGCACGCUGGGUCAAAGAGGACGACCUUCCCCGAAUAGAGGAGGACCGGUCUUCGGUAAAGGGUAUAAGAGUAGCUGCGCUCCCCUGCUAGAACCUCCAAACAAAUUAAGGGAAUUUUAAAUCAGCCUCUUCCAUGUCUCCCUGUAGAACUGCAAUGAACUUGUCAGAUUUUU